AGUCUUAAAAUUUAACUUAAAUUGCAAAUUUAAGAUAGCUGAUAAUAUAAGCUAAGGCUU
Molecule: transfer RNA, 60 nt
Filed under: Symplana lii
Lineage: Eukaryota; Metazoa; Arthropoda; Insecta; Hemiptera; Lophopidae
Description: tRNA-Cys
Source: RNAcentral